Molecule: ribosomal RNA, 493 nt
Filed under: uncultured bacterium
Lineage: Bacteria
Description: bacterial SSU rRNA
Rfam family: Bacterial small subunit ribosomal RNA
Source: RNAcentral
GAUGAACGCUAGCGGCAGGCCUAACACAUGCAAGUCGAGGGGUAGAACACUUCGGUGUUUGAGACCGGCGCGCGGGUGCGUAACGCGUAUGCAAUCUACCUUGUACAGGGGAAUAGCCCAGAGAAAUUUGGAUUAAUGCCCCAUAGUAUAUAACCUUCGCAUGUUGGUUAUAUUAAAGUUUAGGCGGUACAAGAUGAGCAUGCGUCCCAUUAGUUAGUUGGUAAGGUAACGGCUUACCAAGACGAUGAUGGGUAGGGGUCCUGAGAGGGAGAUCCCCCACACUGGUACUGAGACACGGACCAGACUCCUACGGGAGGCAGCAGUGAGGAAUAUUGGUCAAUGGGCGCAAGCCUGAACCAGCCAUGCCGCGUGCAGGAAGAAGCAUCUAUGGUGUGUAAACUGCUUUUAUACAGGAAGAAACAACUCUACGUGUAGAGUCUUGACGGUACUGUAAAGAAUAAGGACCGGCUAACUCCGUGCCAGCAGCCGCGGU